RNAcentral lists this ribosomal RNA (253 nucleotides) under uncultured bacterium. RNAcentral describes it as "partial 16S ribosomal RNA". It matches the Rfam family "Bacterial small subunit ribosomal RNA", at positions 524 to 776 of the family's 1533-position model. The record is from RNAcentral. RNAcentral also lists the same sequence under 1 other name.
UACGUAGGGUGCAAGCGUUGUCCGGAAUUAUUGGGCGUAAAGAGCUCGUAGGCGGUGUGUCGCGUCUGCUGUGAAAACUCAGGGCUCAACUCUGAGCUUGCAGUGGGUACGGGCACACUUGAGUGCUGUAGGGGAGACUGGAAUUCCUGGUGUAGCGGUGAAAUGCGCAGAUAUCAGGAGGAACACCGGUGGCGAAGGCGGGUCUCUGGGCAGUUACUGACGCUGAGGAGCGAAAGCAUGGGGAGCGAACAGG